GUAGGUGGACGUGCAGGAUCAGGGUGGAUCGGGCUCGCCGAACACGACCUGCGCCGCACGCGGCUCGCCUGCUAGGCCCCUGGAGGUGCUGGAGCCUGGACGCCCUGCUCUACAGGAGCUGGGGGAGGAAGAAAUGGCCUCCUUUCGGCUCAGCCCACAGGCGCGUUCAUUUCAGCAUCAAAACUAGGAAAAGUAAUUAGGAAUGGCUGUGGAGGAACUUCAGUGCAUAAUAAAAAGAUGUCAAAUCCUAGAAGAGCAUGAUUUUAAAGAAGAAGAUUUUGGCCUCUUUCAGCUAGCAGGCCAAAGAUGCAUUGAAGAUGGGUAUAUAAACCAGCUGCUAGAGAUUAUUCAAGAUGAAAAGAACAAGACCAUCAUUAAGACUAUGGGGUGGAAUCUUGUUGGUCCUGUUGUCCGAUGCCUCCUGAGGGGCAGGGAAGAGGAUAAAAGAGAAGAGUGUUUUCUGAUCUUUGAUUUGCUGGUGAAGGUUCAAUUGUGAAUAUUUUUAUAGUUGUGUAAUCCAAAGGAAUUGUUGUUGGGUUUGCUUGAACUCAUUGAAGAGCCCUCCGGGAAACAGAUAUCUCAAAUUAUUCUUCUUUUACUGCAACCAUUACAGACAGUUAUUCAGAAACUUCCUAACAACAAGGCAUACUCGGCUGGAUUAGCAUUGUCCACGCUCUGGAGUCAGCUGUCUCUUCUUCCUGUCCCACACUCAGAAGAACAAAUACAGGCAGAUGACUAUGGCCUUUGUCAGUGUUGCAGGGC
This 762-nucleotide long non-coding RNA is filed under the name Rattus norvegicus (Norway rat). RNAcentral's name for it is "long non-coding RNA NONRATT009184". Lineage: Eukaryota; Metazoa; Chordata; Mammalia; Rodentia; Muridae. The record is from RNAcentral.